Molecule: transfer RNA, 76 nt
Filed under: Ureaplasma diversum NCTC 246
Lineage: Bacteria; Bacillati; Mycoplasmatota; Mycoplasmoidales; Mycoplasmoidaceae
Also listed under: 1 other name
Description: tRNA-Asp
Rfam family: tRNA
About the family: Transfer RNA (tRNA) molecules are approximately 80 nucleotides in length. Their secondary structure includes four short double-helical elements and three loops (D, anti-codon, and T loops).
Source: RNAcentral
GGUUCUGUAGUGUAGUGAUUAACAUGCCUCUCUGUCACAGAGGAGAUCGCGGGUUUGACUCCCGUCAGGACCGCCA